AACAGAAAUCUCGUGUGGAA
RNAcentral lists this small nuclear RNA (20 nucleotides) under Arabidopsis thaliana (thale cress). RNAcentral's name for it is "snRNA_16502". Lineage: Eukaryota; Viridiplantae; Streptophyta; Magnoliopsida; Brassicales; Brassicaceae. The record is from RNAcentral.